AAGCCCUGACAUCAUAAAGAAAACUGCAAUUCACAUCACUAAGGCUAAUGUCACCCAAAGAUAACUUGCUAUUUUAAAUAACAUGGAAACUGCAUUGGGAUGACAGAUAAGUAUAACAAUCCAUUUUAUUUUUAACUGCUUUUGAUGUGUUCCAGACUUUGAAUAUUCAGACAGAAGAAUAAUGGAAAAGUUAUUUUUUCCCCUUAAAUCACACCUCCACACCCCAAACUACUAUUCCUCCACCCUCACCUCUGAACUUUUUGAACAAAAUUGAUGGAUCAAACUCUCCUUUUCCUGCCAGGAGAAUAGUCCUGGACUGAGCUUCAGAAGAUCUCAGAUCACUGAUGUUCUGUCUAGAAGAAUACUCCAAGAUAUAUUUCUAAGUAAUAUUCCUUCUCUUGUUGGGGGAAAUUAGAGAAGAUUUCUACCUGGUGCCAUAUCAACUCAAGGAUGGAGUCAAAUACUGAGAGGCUCUGUCAUCUGUCUUUGGAUCUCCUUCUUCUCUUAGUUUGUUGAAGAAAGGAUGUAUGUCCGAUUCCUCUGCAGUUUCCUGAAAUUCUGGAUACAUAAUGUCACAUAAAUUAGAAAAUAGAAGACUAGAAAGCAGUUUAUGCAUGGCCACACAAAAAUGGAAGGAGCCUCGAACUAGUGAUAUGUCUCUCUUGACAGAGGACCAUUAUGUGAUUCUUAUUAAAAUGCC
This 700-nucleotide long non-coding RNA is filed under the name Pan paniscus (pygmy chimpanzee). Its description in RNAcentral is "lncRNA (ENSPPAG00000045373.1)". The record is from RNAcentral. Lineage: Eukaryota; Metazoa; Chordata; Mammalia; Primates; Hominidae.